This 81-nucleotide microRNA precursor is filed under the name Jaculus jaculus (lesser Egyptian jerboa). RNAcentral describes it as "miRNA (ENSJJAG00000003041.1)". It matches the Rfam family "mir-3473 microRNA precursor family". The record is from RNAcentral. Lineage: Eukaryota; Metazoa; Chordata; Mammalia; Rodentia; Dipodidae.
CUGCUAAGCCAUCUCUCCAGCCCAAACAAAAUAUUUUUUAAAAGUUAAAAAAAAAAUGAGCUGGAGAGAUGGCUUAGCAGU